CAGUCGCCGCGGUAAUACGAAGGGUGCAAGCGUUAAUCGGAAUUACUGGGCGUAAAGCGCGCGUAGGUGGUUUGGUAAGAUGGAUGUGAAAUCCCCGGGCUCAACCUGGGAACUGCAUCCAUAACUGCCUGACUAGAGUACGGUAGAGGGUGGUGGAAUUUCCUGUGUAGCGGUGAAAUGCGUAGAUAUAGGAAGGAACACCAGUGGCGAAGGCGACCACCUGGACUGAUACUGACACUGAGGUGCGAAAGCGUGGGGAGCAAACAGGAUUAGAGACCCGAGUAGUCCCUGUCUCUUAUAC
This 301-nucleotide ribosomal RNA is filed under the name uncultured bacterium. Its description in RNAcentral is "partial 16S ribosomal RNA". It matches the Rfam family "Bacterial small subunit ribosomal RNA", at positions 509 to 807 of the family's 1533-position model. The record is from RNAcentral.